RNAcentral lists this non-coding RNA (665 nucleotides) under Neurospora tetrasperma FGSC 2509. RNAcentral's name for it is "Eukaryotic large subunit ribosomal RNA". It matches the Rfam family "Eukaryotic large subunit ribosomal RNA", at positions 91 to 788 of the family's 3401-position model. The record is from Rfam by way of RNAcentral. Lineage: Eukaryota; Fungi; Ascomycota; Sordariomycetes; Sordariales; Sordariaceae.
GAGUGAAGCGGCAACAGCUCAAAUUUGAAAUCUGGCUUCGGCCCGAGUUGUAAUUUGUAGAGGAAGCUUUUGGUGAGGCACCUUCUGAGUCCCCUGGAACGGGGCGCCAUAGAGGGUGAGAGCCCCGUAUAGUCGGAUGCCGAUCCAAUGUAAAGCUCCUUCGACGAGUCGAGUAGUUUGGGAAUGCUGCUCAAAAUGGGAGGUAAAUUUCUUCUAAAGCUAAAUACCGGCCAGAGACCGAUAGCGCACAAGUAGAGUGAUCGAAAGAUGAAAAGCACUUUGAAAAGAGGGUUAAAUAGCACGUGAAAUUGUUGAAAGGGAAGCGUUUGUGACCAGACUUGCGCCGUUCCGAUCAUCCGGUGUUCUCACCGGUGCACUCGGGGCGGCUCAGGCCAGCAUCGGUUUUGGCGGGGGGAUAAAGGUCCGGGGAACGUAGCUCCUCCGGGAGUGUUAUAGCCCCGGGCGUAAUGCCCUCGCCGGGACCGAGGUUCGCGCAUCUGCAAGGAUGCUGGCGUAAUGGUCAUCAACGACCCGUCUUGAAACACGGACCAAGGAGUCAAGGUUUUGCGCGAGUGUUUGGGUGUAAAACCCGCACGCGUAAUGAAAGUGAACGUAGGUGAGAGCUUCGGCGCAUCAUUCGACCGAUCCUGAUGUAUUCGGAUGGA